CAAGGCUUGACAUAUACGAGAACGGGCCAGAAAUGGUCAACUCUUUGGACACGCGUAAACAGGUGGUGCAUGGUUGUCGUCAGCUCGUGUCGUGAGAUGUUGGGUUAAGUCCCGCAACGAGCGCAACCCUCGUUCUAUGUUGCCAGCACGUAAUGGUGGGAACUCAUGGGAUACUGCCGGGGUCAACUCGGAGGAAGGUGGGGAUGACGUCAAAUCAUCAUGCCCCUUAUGUCUUGGGCUUCACGCAUGCUACAAUGGCCGGUACAAAGGGCUGCAAUACCGCGAGGUGGAGCGAAUCCCAAAAAGCCGGUCCCAGUUCGGAUUGAGGUCUGCAACUCGACCUCAUGAAGUCGGAGUCGCUAGUAAUCGCAGAUCAGCAACGCUGCGGUGAAUACGUUCCC
This 401-nucleotide ribosomal RNA is filed under the name uncultured bacterium. RNAcentral's name for it is "bacterial SSU rRNA". It matches the Rfam family "Bacterial small subunit ribosomal RNA", at positions 975 to 1375 of the family's 1533-position model. The record is from RNAcentral.